GAUGAACGCUGGCGGCGUGCCUAAUACAUGCAAGUCGAGCGAACAGAUGAGGAGCUGGCUCCUCUGACGUUAGCGGCGGACGGGUUAGUAACACGUUGAUAACCUACCUAUAAUACUGGGAUUACUGCGGGCAACCGGAGCUAAUACCGGAUAAUAUAUUGAACCUCAUGGUUCAAUGGUGAAAUACGGUUUUGCUGUCACUUAUAGAUGGUUUCGCGCCGCAUUAGCUAGUUGGUAAGGUAACGGCUUACCAAGGCAACGAUGCGUAGACGAACUGAGAGGGUGAUCGGCCGCACGAGAACUGGGACGCGGUCCAGACUCCUACGGGAGGCAGCAGUAGCGAAUCUUCGGCAAUGGGCGAAAGUAUGACAGAGCAAGGCCGAGUGAGUGAUGGAGGUGUUCGGAUCGUAAAGCUCUGUUAUUAGGGAAAAACAACUGUGUAAGUAGAUAUGCACGGAGUGACGGUAACUAAUAAGAAAGCAACGGCUAACUACGUG
Molecule: ribosomal RNA, 497 nt
Filed under: uncultured bacterium
Lineage: Bacteria
Description: partial 16S ribosomal RNA
Rfam family: Bacterial small subunit ribosomal RNA
Source: RNAcentral